RNAcentral lists this ribosomal RNA (492 nucleotides) under uncultured bacterium. RNAcentral's name for it is "bacterial SSU rRNA". It matches the Rfam family "Bacterial small subunit ribosomal RNA", at positions 30 to 511 of the family's 1533-position model. The record is from RNAcentral.
AUUGAACGCUGGCGGAAUGCUUUACACAUGCAAGUCGAACGGCAGCACGAGGGCAACCUUGGUGGCGAGUGGCGAACGGGUGAGUAAUACAUCGGAACGUGCCCAGUCGUGGGGGAUAACGUAGCGAAGCUACGCUAAUACCGCAUACGAUCUAUGGAUGAAAGCGGGGGACCGUAAGGCCUCGCGCGAUUGGAGCGGCCGAUGGCAGAUUAGGUAGUUGGUGGGGUAAAGGCUCACCAAGCCUGCGAUCUGUAGCUGGUCUGAGAGGACGACCAGCCACACUGGAACUGAGACACGGUCCAGACUCCUACGGGAGGCAGCAGUGGGGAAUUUUGGACAAUGGGCGCAAGCCUGAUCCAGCCAUUCCGCGUGCAGGAUGAAGGCCUCGGGUUGUAAACUGCUUUUGUUACGGAACGAAAAGGUUUUACCUUAAUUACGGAGAGCUCAUGACGGUACCGUAAGGAAUAAGACACCGGCUAACUACGUAGCCAG